Long non-coding RNA from Bos taurus (domestic cattle), 1203 nucleotides. The record is from Ensembl. Lineage: Eukaryota; Metazoa; Chordata; Mammalia; Artiodactyla; Bovidae.
AUGCACGGAACCAGCUGGCCUGACCCUCCCAGGAAGCAAGUGAACAAAGACACCUGCUACUUGUCCUUGCUCCCUCCUGUUAGAGCGAGAACCCCAAUAAAGCCUUGCCCGAAUUUCUUGUCUGGCCUCUCUGAUCAAUUUCUAUUGAUUAAGGAGCCCAAAUGAUGCUUUCGAAUUGUGGUGCUGGAGAAGACUCUUGAGAGUCCCAUGGACAGCAAGGAGAUCAAACCAGUCAAUCCUAAAGAAAAUCAACCCUGAAAAUUCAUUGGAAGGACUGAUGUUGAAGCUCCAAAAUUUUGGCCACCUGCUGCAAAGAACAGACUCUGAUACUGGGAAAGAUUGAGAGCAGGAGAGAAGGGGGUGACAGAGGACAAUGGAUGUCUGUGUCGACAGAGGUGGUUGGAUGGCAUUACUGACUCAACGGACAUGAAUUUAAGCCACCUCUGGGAGACAGUGAAGGACAGUGAAGCCUGACAUGCUGUGUUCCACAGAGUUGCAAAGAGUCAGACACAAUUUAGCAACUGAACAACAAGUAGCCCAAGAACCCUGGUCAGGAACACAUUGACAUUUUUCUUGAUCUUUCCUUUUUCUUUUAGAUCCAGAGGCAGAACACUGGGUGAAUCAUACUCUCUGCUGAUAACGCACUAUCGUUAUAAGCUUGCACCAGGUCCUUCUCUCGUUGUUUAUUGCCUUUUAUCCCAUUUCCCUCCCCAACCCAAUACCCACAGCACUACUAAAUGUGAUCAUCUCAUGUCCUUCUGCUGCGUGUAUGUUUUUAACUUUUAUAUGUGAUAUCCACAGACUUUUUUCUGUUUCUUUUUCAUCCACACAGCAUGGUUUUUAAGAUUUAUCUGGAUACUUCUAUCUGUUUUGCAUGGUAUUUUGUGGUAUGCCUCAUUAUCUGUCCCUCCAGGGAUGAACCCCAAGGUCACCACCAUCCUCACCACAAUAGAGAACACUGUGAUAAACAUCCCAGGCCAGCCUGCUCAGGGACCUGCAUGACAGCUUCUCUGGGUUCUACAUCCGGGCUCGGGACUGAAGGAUGGUUUCCGUCCGGCUGUCCCGUCCUGAUUAUUCUAAGGAGCACCUAUGUGGCCCCAUCAUAUCGCCGGGUUCACAUCACAGAAAUGGGAGUCAUCUGAGGCUCAAAGAGGUUAACUCCUGAGAGUUAUGCCUACCUCCACAGAGCUGGUUCAGUGGUAG